AGUGAACGCUGGCGGUAGGCCUAACACAUGCAAGUCGAACGGCAGCACAGUAAGAGCUUGCUCUUACGGGUGGCGAGUGGCGGACGGGUGAGGAAUACAUCGGAAUCUACUUUUUCGUGGGGGAUAACGUAGGGAAACUUACGCUAAUACCGCAUACGACCUACGGGUGAAGGCAGGGGAUCUUCGGACCUUGCGCGAAUGAAUGAGCCGAUGUCGGAUUAGCUAGUUGGCGGGGUAAAGGCCCACCAAGGCGACGAUCCGUAGCUGGUCUGAGAGGAUGAUCAGCCACACUGGAACUGGGACACGGUCCAGACUCCUACGGGAGGAAGCAGUGGGGAAUAUUGGACAAUGGGCGCAAGCCUGAUCCAGCCAUACCGCGUGGGUGAAGAAGGCCUUCGGGUUGUAAAGCCCUUUUGUUGGGAAAGAAAAGCAGCAGGUUAAUACCCCGCUGUUCUGACGGUACCCAAAGAAUAAGCACCGGCUAACUUCGUG
Molecule: ribosomal RNA, 492 nt
Filed under: uncultured bacterium
Lineage: Bacteria
Description: partial 16S ribosomal RNA
Rfam family: Bacterial small subunit ribosomal RNA
Source: RNAcentral